This 254-nucleotide ribosomal RNA is filed under the name uncultured bacterium. RNAcentral describes it as "partial 16S ribosomal RNA". It matches the Rfam family "Bacterial small subunit ribosomal RNA", at positions 524 to 776 of the family's 1533-position model. The record is from RNAcentral.
UACGUAGGGUGCGAGCGUUGUCCGGAAUUAUUGGGCGUAAAGAGCUCGUAGGCGGUCUGUCGCGUCGGUCGUGAAAACCUGCAGCUUAACUGUGGGCGUGCGGUCGAUACGGGCAUGACUGGAGUUCGGCAGGGGAGACUGGAAUUCCUGGUGUAGCGGUGAAAUGCGCAGAUAUCAGGAGGAACACCGGUGGCGAAGGCGGGUCUCUGGGCCGAUACUGACGCUGAGGAGCGAAAGCGUGGGAAGCGAACAGG